UUGCGGAGACAGAAGCUUGCGGCGGCGGAAAAGUAUUUUCGUGGCUCUCUUCCGUGGUUUCUGAUUUUUGGAGAAUUUAUAGGCGAAAGAAGUAGGGAAGGGGAGCCAUAGGGGGCCCACAAGCCUGGUAGGCCCGACCUGGGUGGCUUGUGACCUCUUCCGAGGUCCCCUGCCUUGGUUCUCAAGUUUCCUACGUGUCUUCUGUUAUGGAAAAAAUCAUUCCGCAGGUUUUAUUCCGUUUGGACUCCGUUUAAUAUUCUCCUCUGAAAAAGGUCCAAAACACGGAAAAAUAGGAGCUGGCACUUGGCACUGAGUUAAUAGGUUAGUCCCAAAAAAUAUAUAUAAUAGCAUAUUCAUGCAUAC
RNAcentral lists this long non-coding RNA (363 nucleotides) under Hordeum vulgare. RNAcentral's name for it is "long non-coding RNA (HVUL_LNC018724)". Lineage: Eukaryota; Viridiplantae; Streptophyta; Magnoliopsida; Poales; Poaceae. The record is from RNAcentral.